UACGGGGGGGGGCAAGCGUUGUUCGGAAUUACUGGGCGUAAAGGGCUCGUAGGCGGCCAACUAAGUCGGACGUGAAAUCCCUCGGCUUAACCGGGGAACUGCGUCCGAUACUGGAUGGCUUGAGUUUGGGAGAGGGAUGCGGAAUUCCAGGUGUAGCGGUGAAAUGCGUAGAUAAUCUGGAGGAACACCGGUGGCGAAGGCGGCAUCCUGGACCAACACUGACGCUGAUGAGCGAAAGCCAGGGGAGCAAACGGG
Molecule: ribosomal RNA, 255 nt
Filed under: uncultured bacterium
Lineage: Bacteria
Description: partial 16S ribosomal RNA
Rfam family: Bacterial small subunit ribosomal RNA
Source: RNAcentral